CAUCAGGUAUGGCAACAUGCCUGAGGACCGGACAGGAGUCAGCCGAGGUCAUAGUAGUUCGCCUAGAGUAGACAGAGGGGAC
Deltaproteobacteria bacterium is the source of this 82-nucleotide non-coding RNA. Lineage: Bacteria; Pseudomonadati; Myxococcota; Myxococcia. The record is from Rfam.